AAAGGAAUAGACGGGGGCCCGCACAAGCAGUGGAGUAUGUGGUUUAAUUCGAAGCAACGCGAAGAACCUUACCAGGUCUUGACAUCGUGCGCAUAACCUAGAGAUAGGGAAGCCCUUCGGGGCGCAUAGACAGGUGGUGCAUGGUUGUCGUCAGCUCGUGUCGUGAGAUGUUGGGUUAAGUCCCGCAACGAGCGCAACCCUUACAGUUAGUUGCUACGCAAGAGCACUCUAACAGGACUGCCGUUGACAAAACGGAGGAAGGUGGGGAUGACGUCAAAUCAUCAUGCCCCUUAUGACCUGGGCUACACACGUACUACAAUGGUCGUCAACAGAGGGCAGCGAAGGAGCGAUCCGGAGCAAAUCUCUAAAAACGAUCUCAGUUCGGAUUGUAGGCUGCAACUCGCCUACAUGAAGUCGGAAUUGCUAGUAAUCGCGAAUCAGCAUGUCGCGGUGAAUACGUUCCCGGGCCUUGUACACACCGCCCGU
This 486-nucleotide ribosomal RNA is filed under the name uncultured bacterium. Its description in RNAcentral is "bacterial SSU rRNA". It matches the Rfam family "Bacterial small subunit ribosomal RNA", at positions 903 to 1397 of the family's 1533-position model. The record is from RNAcentral.